AUGUGCUUAACAUUUUAAAAAUGUUUUCGUGAGAGCCCUAGUGAUCAUAGUCUAGACUCGAGAAGGAAUCCUAGUUCGCUAUGAUCAGAGCUCUGAUACCAAGCUGUCACACCCUGGCUUUGCGGAAGCGUGGUUAAUUUGGUGUGACUUCUUAAUACCAUAGCUUAAUCAUAACAAAGCUAUAUGAAUUUAAAAAUAAGUAAGAUCAUCCAUUAAGUUUAAAACCGAAAAUACCAUAACAUUGUUUUAACGGGAAACACCCUAACAACCAUAAUCUUGUUCAACAGUCAAUACAAACUCAAACAUAUCAUAAACACAGUUUAAGGACUGUGACUUGUCCAGGAAAGAGUCACAUUCCCUAAACCCUGGAUGACCUUGGAAACUAGUGCAGCGGGAAAACGUGCCAUACCGUGC
This 414-nucleotide long non-coding RNA is filed under the name Helianthus annuus (common sunflower). RNAcentral's name for it is "sRNA HanXRQr2_Chr13g0600681". Lineage: Eukaryota; Viridiplantae; Streptophyta; Magnoliopsida; Asterales; Asteraceae. The record is from RNAcentral.